Acanthosepion pharaonis is the source of this 100-nucleotide non-coding RNA. The record is from the annotation of a GenBank genome assembly. Lineage: Eukaryota; Metazoa; Mollusca; Cephalopoda; Sepiida; Sepiidae.
UGUUGAAACACUGGUUCCCAAAUAAUCACCAAAGUUAAGCAAUGUAAAGCCUGGCCAGUACCUUCAUGGGUGACCACUUGAGAAUAUCGGGUGCUGUAAG